GAUGAACGCUGGCGGCGUGCCUAAUACAUGCAAGUCGAGCGAACAGACGAGGAGCUUGCUCCUCUGACGUUAGCGGCGGACGGGUGAGUAACACGUGGAUAACCUACCUAUAAGACUGGGAUAACUUCGGGAAACCGGAGCUAAUACCGGAUAAUAUAUUGAACCGCAUGGUUCAAUAGUGAAAGACGGUUUUGCUGUCACUUAUAGAUGGAUCCGCGCCGCAUUAGCUAGUUGGUAAGGUAACGGCUUACCAAGGCAACGAUGCGUAGCCGACCUGAGAGGGUGAUCGGCCACGCUGGAACUGAGACACAGUCCAGACUCCUACGGGAGGCAGCAGUAGGGAAUCUUCCGCAAUGGGCGAAAGCCUGACGGAGCAACGCCGCGUGAGUGAUGAAGGUCUUCGGAUCGUAAAACUCUGUUAUUAGGGAAGAACAAAUGUGUAAGUAACUAUGCACGUCUUGACGGUACCUAAUCAGAAAGCCACGGCUAACUACGUG
This 497-nucleotide ribosomal RNA is filed under the name uncultured bacterium. Its description in RNAcentral is "partial 16S ribosomal RNA". It matches the Rfam family "Bacterial small subunit ribosomal RNA", at positions 28 to 507 of the family's 1533-position model. The record is from RNAcentral.